RNAcentral lists this ribosomal RNA (253 nucleotides) under uncultured bacterium. Its description in RNAcentral is "partial 16S ribosomal RNA". It matches the Rfam family "Bacterial small subunit ribosomal RNA", at positions 524 to 776 of the family's 1533-position model. The record is from RNAcentral.
UACGUAGGGUGCGAGCGUUGUCCGGAAUUAUUGGGCGUAAAGAGCUCGUAGGCGGUCUGUCGCGUCUGCUGUGAAAACCCGAGGCUCAACCUCGGGCCUGCAGUGGGUACGGGCAGACUAGAGUGCGGUAGGGGAGAAUGGAACUCCUGGUGUAGCGGUGGAAUGCGCAGAUAUCAGGAAGAACACCGAUGGCGAAGGCAGUUCUCUGGGCCGUAACUGACGCUGAGGAGCGAAAGCGUGGGGAGCAAACAGG